GAAUUUUCUUUUAUUAAAAAAUUGACAAAUUAUCCCUCAACAAUCUUCCAACUGUUUAAAGUAUUAAAAUGAUAUAUGCUAUUUAAAAAUUAUUAGGCAUUCAUUAAAUUGGCAAGAUAUUAGAUUUCAUGUAUUCAAUAUUUUGCUUUGGUAAGAAGCAAAUUCUAUAAACUCCCUAUUGGAAUCGUGUAUUUUGGGAAUUAGAUAUUCUUGGAUGUGAGGUGCAGUUUUCUUCUAACUGCAGGGAAAAUGCUGUCUAAAAGAAAAUAAUAAAUUUGUAUCUGCUGAAUUCUCUUAGCAUAAGGCACCAACAAAACAACCUUCAGGAAGGGAGAAGAAACCAUCCUCCCACUCAUCCUUCAGAGAAUUCAGAUAAAGUGAAGAAGAAUCGUUCUCCAGCUCCUUUGGAAUUUACGCCGUCAUCAGGGGAGGCUUGUUACUGCUGGAUCCAGUGUCUGCUCAAGAAUGAAGAGACCCUGCCACAAUGAGGGACUGAGUAAUUAAUUGCCUGAAACACAUGGGUAGUCUGAAAUUUGAGCUUCUUAUAAAGGUGUGACUCACAGCUUUCUUAGAAAAAGAGCACAAAUAUCCACUGCACCAGGAACAGGGAAAUUUCCUUCCCAUCUUCUUCUCUUUCCUAUUAGGAUCUCAUUCUGUAGCCCAGGAUGAAGAGCAGUGGCAUAAUCAUAGCCCACUUCAGCUUUGACCUCUCAGUCUCAAGUGAGCCUCCCCCCUCAGCCUCCUGAGUAGCUGGGACCACAGGUGUGCACCACCAUACCCAGUAAAAGUUACAUUAAGUGUGCCUGGCUCUCCUGCUUCCCCUACCACAUCCUCCACCUCUUCCACCUCUGCCACCCCUGAGACAGCAAGACCAACCCCUCUUCCUGCUCAGCCUACUCAACUUGAAGAGGACACGGAUGAAGACCUUUAUGAUGAUCCACUUCCGCUUAAUGAAAGUUAA
Long non-coding RNA from Nomascus leucogenys (northern white-cheeked gibbon), 961 nucleotides. RefSeq lists it as uncharacterized. NCBI's taxonomy places the organism in Eukaryota, Metazoa, Chordata, Mammalia, Primates, Hylobatidae. The transcript has 4 exons. The record is from RefSeq and is a predicted model, not a curated record.